AACUUUUAAUAAUGGAUCUCUUGGUUCCGGUAUCAAUGAAGAACGUAGUAAAAUACGAUACGUAAUAUGAGUGCUAGGAACCCUAUAUAGCGUUAGAUGUGUAUUAGACGUGGUCAAUAUAGUAGUUAUGUACCUGAUUUAGGGUCU
Molecule: ribosomal RNA, 147 nt
Filed under: Penicillium italicum
Lineage: Eukaryota; Fungi; Ascomycota; Eurotiomycetes; Eurotiales; Aspergillaceae
Description: 5.8S ribosomal RNA
Rfam family: 5.8S ribosomal RNA
About the family: 5.8S ribosomal RNA (5.8S rRNA) is a component of the large subunit of the eukaryotic ribosome. It is transcribed by RNA polymerase I as part of the 45S precursor that also contains 18S and 28S rRNA.
Source: Rfam by way of RNAcentral